Molecule: non-coding RNA, 28 nt
Filed under: Bombyx mori (domestic silkworm)
Lineage: Eukaryota; Metazoa; Arthropoda; Insecta; Lepidoptera; Bombycidae
Source: RNAcentral
AAGAAACCUUUGGACCACUAAUUUGGGA